GUGUUGGUGAAGAUUUAUUAUUAUAUUGAAAAUAAAUAAACAAAAUAUAUUUUUGAUGUGAAUCCGUCGUAUUUUCUACCUCUCAUUAGCAUUACAAUGCAUUCAAAUACCUUUUAAUGAAGAAGAUUGACAAUCCUUCAUUUUACAUUCAACCAUUUUCACUUAUUGUUUUUUCUUAAUACUUAGCAAACAUACUUUUUGUUCUUACAUUUUUCUAUUUUCUAUCAUGUGAUAGAGAACAUAAUGAAAAUUAAGAAAACAUUUAUGUUCUAGAGUGUAUUUGUUUUCUGCCUUUAACAUAAUCGUAAUGUUAUAUUAAUAAAUAUAAAGAUCCAUAACAGUAUCACACGAGACUUUGUACAAAGAUAGACAACUCUAAUAUUCAUAAAGUUUUUAAAAAAUCCUUCAUAUGUUUUAUGAACAUUAAUGUAGCAACCAUUACAACAAUACUGCAUCGGAUGCACAUUUUGUCAGUUAAGAUCCCUUCGGUGAUGCUUGACGCCAAACCAUUUCAAUAUCUAACUUCUUUAAAAAAUACUAUUUUGAUAAAAUCGUAGCUAUUUGUUUUAAUUGAAUGAGUUUUCUAAAGACAAAUGGAACAUAUUGCACAAUAAAAUGCAACUAUUCGCUAAUUAUUCAUAAACUAUGACACGGACAUGCAUAAAACACAAUGACAUUUAAACCACUCCUAUUCCGGCUAUAUAAUUCUUAAAAACGAUAUGUUGAAAUUGUG
Molecule: long non-coding RNA, 733 nt
Filed under: Mytilus galloprovincialis (Mediterranean mussel)
Lineage: Eukaryota; Metazoa; Mollusca; Bivalvia; Mytilida; Mytilidae
Source: RNAcentral